AAAUAGCAAAACUUGGACCUUGAAGACAGGCGAUUGCUAUGACUAAUUUGUGGCCAGGUGGUGUGACCUUGGGUAUGUUACCUAACCUCGCUGAGCCGCAUGGUGCUGGUGAGGAUUCGGUGAGAUGACAACUGGUCAGGUCCUGGCAGGACUCCUGGCACAUCCCUGACUCUCAAUCAACAGGAGCUUUUGAUAUGGUUAGGAAGCAGGUAAGCCUCACCUUGAACAAAUCCAACUGAUGACGUUUGCUUUUAUGCAGACAUAGCAGUUCCCCCGACCUUUGUGCUGCUGUGGGAGGACAAUGUGUGAUGGAGAAGGGCCUGCUGCAGGUUUCUCUGGGUAUAGUCAGGCAGGACCAGGCGUACAUCCUGCUCUGCCCCCAGAAGCUGUGAUUCAAGAGAGGGGCUUGGUGUCUCUGGGCCUCAUCUUGCCCAACUGCAAAAUGGGAGCAAUGGCACCUCCCUUUGCAGGCUGCUGUGCCCCUCAGUGAGAUAACUUCGGGGUGCAGAGCCUGGUGAGCGCAGGCCUUACAGAAGUCCAUCUUCCUCACCAACUAAGGACCCAGUUCCGGAGAAAGUGCUUGCCUGUGGUUGUGAGGUCGUCAUUUCUCAGGAGGACCUGAACGUCCGUGGUAAACACGUCCCAUAACCAGCUCGAACAACCCCCCUUGUUGGACACUGUUUGA
This 685-nucleotide long non-coding RNA is filed under the name Homo sapiens (human). RNAcentral's name for it is "HSALNT0155930". Lineage: Eukaryota; Metazoa; Chordata; Mammalia; Primates; Hominidae. The record is from RNAcentral.